Lupinus angustifolius (narrow-leaved blue lupine) is the source of this 87-nucleotide microRNA precursor. It matches the Rfam family "MIR397 microRNA precursor family". NCBI's taxonomy places the organism in Eukaryota, Viridiplantae, Streptophyta, Magnoliopsida, Fabales, Fabaceae. The record is from Rfam.
CGGAAAAACAUCAUUGAGUGCAGCAUUGAUGACGUCUCACGUAGAUGCCAAGUCGUGUUAUUGAUGCUGCACUCAAUCAUAUUUUUC